CGUAGGGAGCAAGCGUUGUCCGGAUUUACUGGGUGUAAAGGGUGCGUAGGCGGCUUUACAAGUCAGGCGUGAAAUAUAUGGGCUUAACCCAUAGACUGCGUUUGAAACUGUAGAGCUUGAGUGAAGUAGAGGUAGGCGGAAUUCCCGGUGUAGCGGUGAAAUGCGUAGAGAUCGGGAGGAACACCAGUGGCGAAGGCGGCCUACUGGGCUUUAACUGACGCUGAGGCACGAAAGCAAUGGGUAGCAAACAGGAUU
This 255-nucleotide ribosomal RNA is filed under the name uncultured bacterium. RNAcentral describes it as "partial 16S ribosomal RNA". It matches the Rfam family "Bacterial small subunit ribosomal RNA", at positions 526 to 779 of the family's 1533-position model. The record is from RNAcentral.